RNAcentral lists this ribosomal RNA (92 nucleotides) under uncultured bacterium. Its description in RNAcentral is "partial 16S ribosomal RNA". The record is from RNAcentral.
CCCGUCACACCAUGGGAGUUGGUUUCACACGAAGGCGUUGCGCUAACUCGCAAGAGAGGCAGGCGACUACGGUGGGAUCAGCGACUGGGGUG